RNAcentral lists this long non-coding RNA (1006 nucleotides) under Pan paniscus (pygmy chimpanzee). RNAcentral describes it as "lncRNA (ENSPPAG00000044454.1)". The record is from RNAcentral. Lineage: Eukaryota; Metazoa; Chordata; Mammalia; Primates; Hominidae.
UUUGAAAAAAUAUAUUCAACCAGCUUAAUUUUUCUAAUUUUGUUUUUGUUAAAUCCUGUUUUCUUAUUAACUAUUGAUUGCUAAGCAGCAGGCAGUGUGCUAAGUACGUUACCUGGAUUAUCCGGUUAAUCCUUCCAAUAGCUACACGGUGAAGACAAGAUGUCCACAUCUUCUGCAGAUAAGGAAACUGAGGGGUAAUAAUAAAUAAUUUGCACAACACAGCACAAAGCUGAGGAGCCAACACUGGACCUGACGAAGUCCCAUUCUGGAAGCCAAACUCCCAACUGCUAAGCUCUGCUUGAAUUCUCAUUGAGCAUCUCGCUUCUUUAAAGUUUCAACAACUCAGCAGUCUAUAAUCCAACUCGCCUUCUCCGCAAUGCCAAAAGUGCAAUGAGCUUCAUGCUGAAUACUGAUUUGAAGUGUGGUUCACCACACAGACUUAAAUUGUCCUUCCCACAACUUUAUCUGAGAAGCCUGACAACGGUGACAAUCACAGGACUAGUUUUAUUGGUCAGGAUGUGGUGUUACUAUAUUAAAGCGCUUCAGGUUUUCAUAGCGCUCGUCAAACAGAGACCUCGGAACACUCUGCAGACAUUAAUUAAUGUUCGCUCCGGCCCUGGAAGCCAUUUCACCAAUGGAAAUUCCGAUGAGAAAGGAAGAAACGAGGGGUUCAAGGCCGCGCCGUUGUGAGUCCGCUGCGGAACUAGGAACUGAAACCCCGUGGUUCCCAAUGAGCCAGCGAAAGUCUGUCGAAGUAUUGAGCACCCCUAUUGAAGACUGUGGGAGUUUUGGCGGCUUAAUGGGAUUGUGUUCGGUCCUUCAGGCUCUCCUUUAAAAGAUUCCAUGGCACCAACGAGACUCCAAUAAAAGGGCCUCUCUAAUUGCUUUCUGACUUUCUAUGAAACUUUCUAAGCUAUGCUGACAUCCUCGAAUACAACUAUGGAAUUAAAGAGGAGAGAAAGGCGAGGCACAGUGGGUGCGCAAAGAAAAAGAGGUUCUCAGCGGA